RNAcentral lists this ribosomal RNA (478 nucleotides) under uncultured bacterium. Its description in RNAcentral is "partial 16S ribosomal RNA". It matches the Rfam family "Bacterial small subunit ribosomal RNA", at positions 28 to 523 of the family's 1533-position model. The record is from RNAcentral.
GACGAACGCUGGCGGCGUGCUUAACACAUGCAAGUCGAACGGUAAGGCCCUUCGGGGUACACGAGUGGCGAACGGGUGAGUAACACGUGGGUGAUCUGCCCUGCACUUCGGGAUAAGCCUGGGAAACUGGGUCUAAUACCGGAUAGGACCACUGCCUGCAUGGGUGGUGGUGGAAAGCUUUUGCGGUGUGGGAUGGGCCCGCGGCCUAUCGGCUUGUUGGUGGGGGAAUGGCCUACCAAGGCGACGACGGGUAGCCGGCCUGAGAGGGUGACCGGCCACACUGGGACUGAGAUACGGCCCAGACCCCUACGGGAGGCAGCAGUGGGGAAUAUUGCACAAUGGGCGCAAGCCUGAUGCAGCGACGCCGCGUGAGGGAUGACGGCCUUCGGGUUGUAAACCUCUUUCAGCACCGACGAAGCGCAAGUGACGGUAGGUGCAGAAGAAGGACCGGCCAACUACGUGCCAGCAGCCGCGGUAA